AUUGAACGCUGGCGGCAGGCCUAACACAUGCAAGUCGAGCGGAUGAAGGGAGCUUGCUCCUGGAUUCAGCGGCGGACGGGUGAGUAAUGCCUAGGAAUCUGCCUGGUAGUGGGGGAUAACGUCGGGAAACGGGCGCUAAUACCGCAUACUUCCUGAGGGAGAAAGUGGGGGAGCUUCGGACCUCACGCUAUCAGAUGAGCCUAGGUCGGAUUAGCUAGUUGGUGGGGUAAAGGCCUACCAAGGCGACGAUCCGUAACUGGUCUGAGAGGAUGAUCAGUCACACUGGAACUGAGACACGGUCCAGACUCCUACGGGAGGCAGCAGUGGGGAAUAUUGGACAAUGGGCGAAAGCCUGAUCCAGCCAUGCCGCGUGUGUGAAGAAGGUCUUCGGAUUGUAAAGCACUUUAAGUUGGGAGGAAGGGCAGUAAGUUAAUACCUUGCUGUUUUGACGUUACCAACAGAAUAAGCACCGGCUAACUUCGUG
Molecule: ribosomal RNA, 484 nt
Filed under: uncultured bacterium
Lineage: Bacteria
Description: partial 16S ribosomal RNA
Rfam family: Bacterial small subunit ribosomal RNA
Source: RNAcentral